RNAcentral lists this ribosomal RNA (636 nucleotides) under uncultured diatom. RNAcentral's name for it is "bacterial SSU rRNA". It matches the Rfam family "Bacterial small subunit ribosomal RNA", at positions 8 to 684 of the family's 1533-position model. The record is from RNAcentral. Lineage: Eukaryota; Bacillariophyta.
AGAGUUUGAUCCUGGCUCAGGAUGAACGCUGGCGGUAUGCCUUACACAUGCAAGUCGUACGAGAGUUUUUAACUCAAGUGGCGGACGGGUGAGUAACACGUAAGAAUUUACCUUUAGGAGGGGGACAACAACGGGAAACUGCUGCUAAUACCCCAUAUGCUUUCGAGUGAAAUGGAUUUAUCCGCCUAGAGAGAGGCUUGCGGCUGAUUAGCUUGUUGGUGAGGUAAUGGCUCACCAAGGCGACGAUCAGUAUCUGGUUUGAGAGGACGAUCAGACACACUGGAACUGAGACACGGUCCAGACUCCUACGGGAGGCAGCAGUGGGGAAUUUUCCGCAAUGGGCGAAAGCCUGACGGAGCAAUACCGCGUGAGGGAUGACGGCCUAUGGGUUGUAAACCUCUUUUUUCAGGGAGGAAUCAAUGACGUGUACCUGAAGAAUAAGCAUCGGCUAACUCCGUGCCAGCAGCCGCGGUAAGACGGAGGAUGCAAGUGUUAUCCGGAAUCACUGGGCGUAAAGCGUCUGUAGGUGGUCAAAUAAGUCAACUGUUAAAUCUUGAGGCUCAACCUCAAAACCGCAGUCGAAACUAUUAGACUAGAGUAUAGUAGGGGUAAAGGGAAUUUCCAGUGGAGCGGUGA